CAUUACACUAGGCGAAGUUAAAAAAAGAGGGAGUGACGUGUCGGUGGAUUCACAAUGGGAUUAUUAUAACAAAGCGCAGAGCUUUGAUUGUAGAGAAGAAACUAAGCUCUAACUCCUCUGAAUUCUGAAUCUCUCUCUCUCUCUCUCUCUCUGUGUUUGUAUCAGAGAAAGAGGAAGAGGAAGAAAUUAAGGGAAAGGUCUGGCGGCCGGGAUAAAAAGCGGAGCAGUGAGACUGGUGGUGGGGUGUAGGAGAAAGAUCAGAGCUAAGAGAAAAGCUAAUAAAUUGAUGGAUUGGUGGCAUAAGAUGAUUUUUCCUGUAAGAAGAGUUUGGAUUUCUAUCUCUGCUCGUUUCAAGCCUCGGGAUAAUGGUGCUGGUCUUCUGAAGCUUCACAAUGAUAUACAGACCUGUGGAUAUGAGGAUGUCCAAGUUAUGUGGGAGAUGUUGAGAAGAUCAGAAACAGAACAGAUAACUAACCAACCCAAGCGCAAGCAACGACCUUUCUGGAAAGUUUUUGUAUGGUCUAACAAUAGUGGAACAUCUUCCUUCUCUGCAAACCAUGCCUAAUACAAGAAGACACAGCAUACUGCGUGCUAAUAAUGAUGAGCUGCUCGUGUCCUGCAACUUCAUGGGCAUCCAUCAUAGGUUUUACCAUCCAACGGCCGUUAUUGCAGUAGCAUGGUACAGAGCUGUUGCUGAGUUUAUCAGAAAUCGGUGCAAAUAUGUGUCAAAAGUUUUACCUUUAUGUGAGAAAACAAGUUCCUGUCAAAUGACAAGUCAUUUGUAAAUACAUAAUGUUUUGUCAUAACCCAUAAAUGAUAUCUUACUUGGAAUA
Manihot esculenta (cassava) is the source of this 833-nucleotide long non-coding RNA. RefSeq lists it as uncharacterized. The transcript is spliced from 2 exons. Lineage: Eukaryota; Viridiplantae; Streptophyta; Magnoliopsida; Malpighiales; Euphorbiaceae. The record is from RefSeq and is a predicted model, not a curated record.